AGAGUUUGAUCAUGGCUCAGGAUGAACGCUAGCUACAGGCUUAACACAUGCAAGUCGAGGGGAAACGAUAUUGGAAGCUUGCUUCCGAUAGGCGUCGACCGGCGUACGGGUGAGUAACGCGUAUCCAACCUGCCCACCACGUUGGGGAAUAACCUUGCGAAAGUAAGACUAAUACCCAAUGACGUCUCUAGAAGACAUCUGAAAAGAGAUUAAAGAUUUAUCGGUGAUGGAUGGGGAUGCGUCUGAUUAGCUUGUUGGCGGGGUAACGGCCCACCAAGGCGACGAUCAGUAGGGGUUCUGAGAGGAAGGCCCCCCACAUUGGAACUGAGACACGGUCCAAACUCCUACGGGAGGCAGCA
Molecule: ribosomal RNA, 359 nt
Filed under: uncultured bacterium
Lineage: Bacteria
Description: bacterial SSU rRNA
Rfam family: Bacterial small subunit ribosomal RNA
Source: RNAcentral